ACUCAACUGAAAACGGCCUCUCUCUGUUUCAACGAGAGAGUGUUUCUAUGGGAACCUAGAGGAGACUGGUGUUUGUGGUACUGUGUUUCUGUGCAGAUAUGGAGCUUAGUGGGAAGAUCGUUGGGCCCAUGUGAAGUCUGGAGUUUUUCACUGAUGCAAUUACACUAUGACCAGAAUUUCUGAAGUUUUUGGUCUUUCUGUAAUAGAUAUGAAAUAGCUGCUAAAACAGUGAGUAUCGUUUGUAUUUAAAGGAAGAAGGAGAAAAAAAGGACAAAAAGUCAGUAAUU
This 287-nucleotide long non-coding RNA is filed under the name Chinchilla lanigera (long-tailed chinchilla). RNAcentral's name for it is "lncRNA (ENSCLAG00000024778.1)". Lineage: Eukaryota; Metazoa; Chordata; Mammalia; Rodentia; Chinchillidae. The record is from RNAcentral.